UGGAAAAAUAAAACAUUCAAAAAAGUAAAAAAGUUUAAUUAUAUCUGUCAUGAAUUUUUGAGAACCCCUUCAACAUCUUUUCAAAUGGUUCUCAAAUCAAACAAAAAAGAAAGGAAAUUGACCUUCAGGUUUAUGUUAUGUAAUUAUUUAAAUGAUAAUGUAACUGAAUCGUAAUUAUGUAAACCUAUUCCUAAUAGAUUGAUAUCAGAGUAUGGAGAUUUUUAAAAUAAGAAGCUGCUCU
Molecule: long non-coding RNA, 241 nt
Filed under: Sorghum bicolor (sorghum)
Lineage: Eukaryota; Viridiplantae; Streptophyta; Magnoliopsida; Poales; Poaceae
Description: long non-coding RNA (SBIC_LNC000225)
Source: RNAcentral